Molecule: ribosomal RNA, 200 nt
Filed under: uncultured bacterium
Lineage: Bacteria
Description: partial 16S ribosomal RNA
Rfam family: Bacterial small subunit ribosomal RNA
Source: RNAcentral
ACGCUCGACACCUACGGGAGGCAGCAGUGGGGAAUAUUGGGCAAUGGGCGCAAGCCUGACCCAGCAACGCCGCGUGAAGGAAGAAGGCCCUCGGGUUGUAAACUUCUUUUGUCAGGGACGAAGCAAGUGACGGUACCUGACGAAUAAGCCACGGCUAACUACGUGCCAGCAGCUGCGGUAAUCUGAGCGGCUGGCAAGGC